This 292-nucleotide ribosomal RNA is filed under the name uncultured bacterium. RNAcentral's name for it is "partial 16S ribosomal RNA". It matches the Rfam family "Archaeal small subunit ribosomal RNA", at positions 455 to 747 of the family's 1478-position model. The record is from RNAcentral.
GUGCCAGCAGCCGCGGUAAUACCGGCAGCCCGAGUGAUGGCCGAUCUUAUUGGCCUAAAGCGUCCGUAGCUGGCUGCGCAAGUCCGUCGGGAAAUCCACUCGCCCAACGAGUGGGCGUCCGACGGAAACUGCACAGCUUGGGACCGGAAGGCUCGAAGGGUACGUCCGGGGUAGGAGUGAAAUCCUGUAAUCCCGAACGGACCACCGAUGGCGAAAGCACCUCGAGAAGCCGGAUCCGACGGUGAGGGACGAAAGCUAGGGUCUCGAACCGGAUUAGAUACCCGUGUAGUCC